ACCAUAUUUGCCAACAUACCAUGAUUGAGUCAAAGUUUAGGGAGAAAUGUGAAUUAUAAGAUUUUUAUAAUGCAUCUUUAGGAAGUCAGGAAGAGCCUUGUAGUAUCAGGAACACAGAGAACAAGCAAUUGCCUUGACAGCAUAGGAAUGGUUGGUGACAGUUGAUAAUUUAAUCUGAGAGAUUUUGAGUGACUAAUUCUGGAGCAGCUUGGUCAUACAGAUAUCUGGCUUAAUUGGAAGGCUGCAUUUUUCCCCCAUAAACCUUCUGCUGAUGUAUCAGGUUGCAUUUUUCAGUGUGAUGACUCAGUACUGUGAGUCCAAUUUCAUUCCCUUAAGCCUUCAUCCAUGAGUUACCAGUAUUACUCUGUGUAAAGGAAAAGUGAAUUGCACCUGUUCUCACAGUGUAAUUUCUUUCUGAUUUUUUUUCUAGAUUAAGCUCCAGCUUUUAUGAAGUCUGGAUGCAGCAGAUAACAUACUUUUCAUUUUACCCCUGAUACUACAGUGCUCUGGGUCUUGUUGGAAGGGACAGAGUUUUUCAGCUUUCUUCUUUUUAAGGGGAAACACAUCUGCCAAAGAAGAGAACGGCGUUGGUUGCGAUGUGCUUGAUACAGAAGAGGAAUGGAUGGUCAGCCCUAAAUUCUUCAGAGACGCUUGCAGCAUCCACUCCAGCCUCUGCUGACCCUACCACCUCUCUGCCUGCUUCAUUGAUUUCUGCAUGUGCUGCAUGGACAGCUUGAGAUAUCUUCAGGCUCUCUGCUGAGGAGAUGCCAGACAGAUUGGCUGAAGAGCUAAACACGUCAGUAAUGCCCAUAGCCAUUAAGACAGAUGUGAGGUUGUAUUUUUCCUCCAUCUUCAUGCGAGGUGUGCUUUGGAUGCCUGGUCAGACACAAUUUUUGCCAGCCUGUCUUGGGCUCAGCCCCAUGCCCUGUCAGCGAGGGGCCCAGAAGAACCAUGGACCAAUGACUGUAGGAUGGUGUAUGUCGCACCCUUGAUGGCUUUCUGUCCUGCCCAGAAGCGGUGACCACAUCCCCUACCUUUGUUACAUGGAAGGGCAUUUCUCGAGUGUCUUCUGCAUUAAAUGCUGUCUUCCACAUCCCUUUGAAGUAGAUGGCAUUAACAAGGACCAGCGUUGUAUCAAGAUCAGUGGAGCUUGAUACAAGCAAAUCUUUGAUCUGUCCUGUAAGAAGGAAGCAAAGUAGUGAGUGCUAAGACACAGUCUGUCUGGUUUGCAUGUAUGAGGCAAAGGGAUUGGAGGGUGCUGCUUUGUGGGGUUUUGUUUUCAUUGCAGGAGUGUUUUGUUUUAGAUGUCAACCAGCAAGCUUGAGUUGACUUCCUGUUCUUUAAAUGAUGGCAUGUGGAAUUCAAGUUCACGAGUGAUUUCAUACAGAACAACUAACCCUUAACCAGGCAUUUCUGUAAGGAGGCACGUAGGCUUGAAUGUUCACACACAUUCCCAGGAAUAUCUCAAACGUCCUUGGAAAAAGACUUGCAUAGAACAGAAGGAAGUGAAAAGCAAAGCAGGGAUACCGAUCUUCUGCCUCUCACUGUGCUUCCUUCUAAUACUUGAUUCUUGUUUUCUUCCCACCUUUUUCCUGAUAAAUGUACAUACACUCUUAAUCAUUCCUUUUCUUACACCAACCUAGUGGCCACAUUAUUUUCUUCCAUGGAAGCCCAUUUCUUAUCCAUCCAGCAUAUGCUUGUAAAAUGAUGCCAAUAUUGUAGGGAAGCUGGGACCAAUCUUGCAUGAGUUAUGCUCUCCUUGCACAGAAAGCACACACUGGCAUCCCUGCCUUUGUCAUAUAUAUUUAAAUGCACUGUCACCGCACACAAAAAAGUGUGCAAUAGAGUCAUCAGUUUCCACAGGAAAUAUCCAUUAAUGGAGAUGGAAGGAAUGGUCUUUCCAGAAGUUGUUCGGGUAAAGUAGUAACAAGGAAGUAUAUUAUAAACUCUUCUCUGAGCUUACCUUCUGUCUGCUUUUCCACCCAGGAGUUAAUAAGCUGUCUGGCUUGGUCUGAUGCUGUUUUGAAGUUCACUGUUUCCAGACCUGCUCUGUACAGUUUCUUCACACACUUUAGGUAAAUCUGUAAAGACAACAGUUGUAGCUACCAAGUCAGUUUUUAAAAAGACUGUGAAGGUGAAAUAAAAUGCAGUUAAAAUGUUCCAUGAUUUUUAUAAUUAUGCUAUUAGACUGUUUUCAUUGCUUAUUUCCUGGACGAAAUGGUUAAAACUGGGCCAGCAAAAUUAUUUCGAUGCAUGAUAUGUUAAGAUCUUUAAGAUUUUUAUUACUUUACCAGAUAAGAUUACGUAGUAGAAAUGCUGAAAUAUUUUCUUGAAGAAAUACCAAUCCAAAAACAGCUUCAGGUCAUUAGCAACUGUUUUGUUAUAAUAAAAUCCUUAUUUUUGAAGCAUUUUUCUCUAUUUUUAAAGAUAAAAUGUAUUUGAUUUAGAAUAUUUGUAUGUUUUAUUUUGAGAAUGUCAAAUGAAAAGCUGUGGAAGUCCACACCGCUGAGGUGAGUUGGAUUAACAGAUACUCUGGGCAGUACUCUUGGAUUAUGGGUUUAUACAGGAUCUAGCAAAAAAUCACUCUGUUGUACAACUCACCGGUAGGAUAGGACGUGACUUUUCUGCAUAGAGUCUGUUGGCAAUGCGGAGUGAAUAAUUGGCUUUUGAUGCAGUAAUAUCAGAGAGGAGUUCUUUAAAGAGUAGGUGGAUGUUCACGGAUUUGCCACACUGGGUUGUUGAAGAGGAGGAAAAAGGGUAUAAAUGUUAGCUUAUUUUACUAGAAAGACAACUAUUUAUAAAGUACAGAUCACGUAGGAAAACACACAGUGUUCAGACAUUUGCAAACAAAAUACAUUAGAGUCUAAAAGCUCCAUGGGAGAGAUGUUCUAUAUAAGCACGUACAACUGAUAGCAUUUGGUGACACUCAGUCUUGGUGAUAAGAAACAGAAAAUGUGAGUGAUUUGUCUGAUUGUGUUUUGUGAAUUGUUCUACAUAACCAUCUAAAUGCUCUAGCAAGAAGAAUAGAAUGGAGAGGAGAGGAGAG
This 3046-nucleotide long non-coding RNA is filed under the name Gallus gallus (chicken). The record is from RNAcentral. Lineage: Eukaryota; Metazoa; Chordata; Aves; Galliformes; Phasianidae.